Long non-coding RNA from Oncorhynchus keta (chum salmon), 907 nucleotides. RefSeq lists it as uncharacterized. Lineage: Eukaryota; Metazoa; Chordata; Actinopteri; Salmoniformes; Salmonidae. The transcript is spliced from 3 exons. The record is from RefSeq and is a predicted model, not a curated record.
UAGUCUAGUCUAAUAUCCUUCUAGGGGUACAUCUCAAUAAUCUAGUCUAAUAUCCUUCUAGGGGUACAUCUCAAUAAUCUAGUCUAAUCUCCUACUAGGGGUACAUCUCAAUAAUCUAGUCUAAUCUCCUUCUAGGGGUACAUCUCAAUAGUGUGGUCUAAUAUCCUUCUAGGGGUACAUCUCAAUAAUCUAGUCUAAUAUCCUUCUAGGGGUACAUCUCAAUAAUCUAGUCUAAUAUCCUUCUAGGGGUACAUCUCAAUAAUCUGGUCUAAUAUCCUUCUAGGGGUACAUCUCAAUAAUCUAGUCUAAUAUCCUUCUAGGGGUACAUCUCAAUAAUCUAGUCUAAUAUCCUUCUAGGGGUACAUCUCAAUAAUCCAGUCUAAUCUCCUACUAGGGGUACAUCUCAAUAAUCUGGUCUAAUAUCCUUCUAGGGGUACAUCUCAAUAAUCUAGUCUAAUCUCCUUCUAGGGGUACAUCUCAAUAAUCUAGUCUAAUCUCCUUCUAGGGGUACAUCUCAAUAAUCUAGUCUAAUAUCCUUCUAGGGGUACAUCUCAAUAAUCUAGUCUAAUCUCCUUCUAGGGGUACAUCUCAAUAAUCUAGUCUAAUCUCCUUCUAGGGGUACAUCUCAAUAAUCUGGUCUAAUAUCCUUCUAGGGGUACAUCUCAAUAGUGUGGUCUAAUCUCCUACUAGGGGUACAUCUCAAUAAUCUAGUCUAAUAUCCUUCUAGGGGUACAUCUCAAUAAUCUAGUCUAAUAUCCUUCUAGGGGUACAUCUCAAUAAUCUAGUCUAAUCUCCUACUAGGGGUACAUCUCAAUAAUCUGGUCUAAUAUCCUUCUAGGGGUACAUCUCAAUAAUCUAGUCUAAUCUCCUUCUAGGGGUACAUCUCAAUAAUCUAGUCUAAUCUCCU